AGUGAACGCUGGCGGUAGGCCUAACACAUGCAAGUCGAACGGCAGCACAGUAAGAGCUCGCUCUUACGGGUGGCGAGUGGCGGACGGGUGCGGAAUACAUCGGAAUCUACUUUUUCGUGGGGGAUAACGUAGGGAAACUUACGCUAAUACCGCAUACGACCUACGGGUGAAAGCAGGGGAUCUUCGGACCUUGCGCGAUUGAAUGAGCCGAUGUCGGAUUAGCUAGUUGGCGGGGUAAAGGCCCACCAAGGCGACGAUCCGUAGCUGGUCUGAGAGGAUGAUCAGCCACACUGGAACUGAGACACGGUCCAGACUCCUACGGGAGGCAGCAGUGGGGAAUAUUGGACAAUGGGCGCAAGCCUGAUCCAGCCAUACCGCGUGGGUGAAGAAGGCCUUCGGGUUGUAAAGCACUUUUGUUGGGAAAGAAAAGCAGCAGGUUAAUACCCCGCUGUUCUGACGGUACCCAAAGAAUAAGCACCGGCUAACUUCGUG
RNAcentral lists this ribosomal RNA (492 nucleotides) under uncultured bacterium. Its description in RNAcentral is "partial 16S ribosomal RNA". It matches the Rfam family "Bacterial small subunit ribosomal RNA", at positions 29 to 507 of the family's 1533-position model. The record is from RNAcentral.